UACAGAGACUACAAACGUUACUCGGAUUCACUGGGCGUAAAGGGUGCGCAGGCGGUUAGGUGUGUUAGAUGUGAAAUACCGGGGCUUAACCCCGGAACUGCGUCUAAAACUACCUGACUAGAGUAUUGGAGAGGUAAGCGGAAUUCCAGGAGUAGCAGUGAAAUGCGUAGAUAUCUGGAGGAACACCAAAGGCGAAGGCAGCUUACUGGACAAUAACUGACGCUCAUGCACGAAAGCGUGGGGAGCAAAAAGGAUUAGAUACCCUUGUAGUCCACGCUGUAAACAUUGCACACUAGGUUUUGGGGCGCUCGACCGUCUCAGGACUCAAGCUAACGCGUUAAGUGUGCCGCCUGAGGACUACGGCCGCAAGGCUAAA
Molecule: ribosomal RNA, 376 nt
Filed under: uncultured bacterium
Lineage: Bacteria
Description: bacterial SSU rRNA
Rfam family: Bacterial small subunit ribosomal RNA
Source: RNAcentral